Non-coding RNA from Macaca mulatta (Rhesus monkey), 98 nucleotides. The record is from Rfam. Lineage: Eukaryota; Metazoa; Chordata; Mammalia; Primates; Cercopithecidae.
GGCUAGCGUCAUACCACCCUGAUCCCAGAAGCUAAGCAGGACCGGGCCUGUCCAGUACCUGGAUAGGAGACCAUCUGGGAAUCUGGGUGCUGUAGGCU